This 352-nucleotide ribosomal RNA is filed under the name uncultured bacterium. Its description in RNAcentral is "bacterial SSU rRNA". It matches the Rfam family "Bacterial small subunit ribosomal RNA", at positions 28 to 381 of the family's 1533-position model. The record is from RNAcentral.
GACGAACGCUGGCGGCGUGCUUAACACAUGCAAGUCGAGCGGUAAGGCCCUUUCGGGGUACGACGAGCGGCGAACGGGUGAGUAACACGUGGGUGACCUGCCCUCAGCUCUGGGAUAAGCCUGGGAAACCGGGUCUAAUACCGGAUAUGACUCCAUGACGCAUGUUGUGGGGUGGAAAGCCUUGUGCGGCUGAGGAUGGGCCCGCGGCCUAUCAGCUUGUUGGUGGGGUGAUGGCCUACCAAGGCGACGACGGGUAGCCGGCCUGAGAGGGCGACCGGCCACACUGGGACUGAGACACGGCCCAGACUCCUACGGGAGGCAGCAGUGGGGAAUCUUGCGCAAUGGGCGAAAG